RNAcentral lists this ribosomal RNA (468 nucleotides) under uncultured bacterium. RNAcentral describes it as "partial 16S ribosomal RNA". It matches the Rfam family "Bacterial small subunit ribosomal RNA", at positions 28 to 507 of the family's 1533-position model. The record is from RNAcentral.
GACGAACGCUGGCGGCGUGCUUAACACAUGCAAGUCGAACGGAAAGGCCCUGCUUUUGUGGGGUGCUCGAGUGGCGAACGGGUGAGUAACACGUGAGUAACCUGCCCUUGACUUUGGGAUAACUUCAUGAAACUGGGGCUAAUACCGGAUAGGAGCUCCUGCUGCAUGGUGGGGGUUGGAAAGUUUCGGCGGUUGGGGAUGGACUCGCGGCUUAUCAGCUUGUUGGUGGGGUAGUGGCUUACCAAGGCUUUGACGGGUAGCCGGCCUGAGAGGGUGACCGGACACAUUGGGACUGAGAUACGGCACAGACUCCUACGGGAGGCAGCAGUGGGGAAUAUUGCACAAUGGGAGGAAGCCUGAUGCAGCAACGCCGCGUGCGGGAUGACGGCCUUCGGGUUGUAAACCGCUUUCGCCUGUGAAGAAGAGUGAGUGACGGUAAUGGGUAAAGAAGCACCGGCUAACUACGUG